CGGCCCGGCCAUAGCGGCCGGGUAACACCCGGACUCAUUUCGAACCCGGAAGUUAAGCCGGCCGCGUUGGAGGCUCCAGUGGGGUCCGAGAGGCCCUGCAGGGGCCUCCAAGCCGGGGCCG
This 121-nucleotide ribosomal RNA is filed under the name Aeropyrum pernix K1. The record is from RNAcentral. Lineage: Archaea; Thermoproteati; Thermoproteota; Thermoprotei; Acidilobales; Acidilobaceae.